Coregonus clupeaformis (lake whitefish) is the source of this 414-nucleotide non-coding RNA. Lineage: Eukaryota; Metazoa; Chordata; Actinopteri; Salmoniformes; Salmonidae. The record is from the annotation of a RefSeq genome assembly.
AUGACAGUUCUAGAAUGUGUGUUCCUUCUGUCUCUCAUCUCAGCUGUUCAGGGGCAGUCACUCACCUCCUCUGAGCCAGUGGUGAAGAGACCUGGAGAAUCAGUAACACUGUCCUGUACUGUGUCUGGAAUCUCCAUGGGUAGCUACUGGAUGCACUGGAUCCGUCAGAAACCAUGGAAAGGACUUGAACAGGCUUCUGGUAAAGGGUUGGAAUGGAUAGCUUACAUUUAUGGUCCAAGUGGUAGUAGCAUCUACUACUCCCAGUCAGUUCAGGGUCGGUUCAGCAUCUCCAGAGACAACAGCAAGCAGCAAGUGUAUCUCCAGAUGAACAGCCUGAAGACUGAAGACUCUGCUGUUUAUUAUUGUGCCAGAGACACAGUGACACAGGAGGCUGCAGCACCGUACAAAAACUGA